RNAcentral lists this ribosomal RNA (253 nucleotides) under uncultured prokaryote. Its description in RNAcentral is "partial 16S ribosomal RNA". It matches the Rfam family "Bacterial small subunit ribosomal RNA", at positions 524 to 776 of the family's 1533-position model. The record is from RNAcentral.
UACGUAGGGACCAAGCGUUGUCCGGAUUCAUUGGGCGUAAAGAGCGUGUAGGCGGCUAUUUAAGUCCUGCGUGAAAUCUCGGGGCUCAACCCCGAGCGGUCGUGGGAAACUGGAUGGCUAGAGUGCGGGAGAGGAGAGUGGAAUUCCUGGUGUAGCGGUGGAAUGCGCAGAUAUCAGGAAGAACACCCGUGGCGAAGGCGGCUCUCUGGAACGCAACUGACGCUGAGACGCGAAAGCGUGGGGAGCAAACAGG